UGCUCCCGGAUGUUAGCGGCGGACGGGUGAGUAACACGUGGGUAACCUGCCUGUAAGACUGGGAUAACUCCGGGAAACCGGAGCUAAUACCGGAUAGUUCCUUGAACCGCAUGGUUCAAGGAUGAAAGACGGUUUCGGCUGUCACUUACAGAUGGACCCGCGGCGCAUUAGCUAGUUGGUGAGGUAACGGCUCACCAAGGCGACGAUGCGUAGCCGACCUGAGAGGGUGAUCGGCCACACUGGGACUGAGACACGGCCCAGACUCCUACGGGAGGCAGCAGUAGGGAAUCUUCCGCAAUGGACGAAAGUCUGACGGAGCAACGCCGCGUGAGUGAUGAAGGUUUUCGGAUCGUAAAGCUCUGUUGUUAGGGAAGAACAAGUGCAAGAGUAACUGCUUGCACCUUGACGGUACCUAACCAGAAAGCCACGGCUAACUACGUGCCAGCAGCCGCGGUAAUACGUAGGUGGCAAGCGUUGUCCGGAAUUAUUGGGCGUAAAGGGCUCGCAGGCGGUUUCUUAAGUCUGAUGUGAAAGCCCCCGGCUCAACCGGGGAGGGUCAUUGGAAACUGGGAAACUUGAGUGCAGAAGAGGAGAGUGGAAUUCCACGUGUAGCGGUGAAA
This 620-nucleotide ribosomal RNA is filed under the name Bacillus altitudinis. Its description in RNAcentral is "bacterial SSU rRNA". It matches the Rfam family "Bacterial small subunit ribosomal RNA", at positions 80 to 686 of the family's 1533-position model. The record is from RNAcentral. Lineage: Bacteria; Bacillati; Bacillota; Bacilli; Caryophanales; Bacillaceae.